AUACUCUGGUUUCUCUUCAGAUCGUAUAAAUUUUUCGCCUUUUACUAAAGAUUUCCGUGGAGAGGAACAAUUCUGAGUUUUAAAACAAUUUUUUGAGGCCUUGCACUAGCAAGGCU
RNAcentral lists this small nuclear RNA (116 nucleotides) under Panthera tigris altaica (Amur tiger). Its description in RNAcentral is "U5 spliceosomal RNA (ENSPTIG00000000783.1)". It matches the Rfam family "U5 spliceosomal RNA". From Rfam's summary of the family: U5 RNA is a component of both types of known spliceosome. The precise function of this molecule is unknown, though it is known that the 5' loop is required for splice site selection and p220 binding, and that both the 3' stem-loop and the Sm site are important for Sm protein binding and cap methylation. Lineage: Eukaryota; Metazoa; Chordata; Mammalia; Carnivora; Felidae. The record is from Rfam by way of RNAcentral.